This 1042-nucleotide ribosomal RNA is filed under the name uncultured bacterium. Its description in RNAcentral is "bacterial SSU rRNA". It matches the Rfam family "Bacterial small subunit ribosomal RNA", at positions 93 to 1123 of the family's 1533-position model. The record is from RNAcentral.
UACUGGCGCACGGGUGAGUAAUAUAUAAGUAAUCUGCCCAAGGGAUUGGGAUAACUUCGAGAAAUCGGAGCUAAUACCGAAUAAUGCAGCGGCACCACAUGGUGAUGUUGUUAAAGUUGCAGCAAUGUAACGCCUUUGGAUGAGCUUGUAUUCGAUUAGCUAGUUGGCGGGGUAAAUGCCCACCAAGGCUACGAUCGAUAGCUGGUCUGAGAGGAUGAUCAGCCACACUGGAACUGAGAUACGGUCCAGACUCCUACGGGAGGCAGCAGUGAGGAAUAUUGGGCAAUGGGCGAAAGCCUGACCCAGCAACGCCGCGUGAAGGAUGAACGUCGUAAGAUCGUAAACUUCUUUUCUAAGGGAAGAAUGAUUAUGUUUCGCAAGGGGCAUAAUUUGACUGUACUUUAGGAAUAAGCCCCGGCUAACUACGUGCCAGCAGCCGCGGUAAUACGUAGGGGGCUAGCGUCGUCCGGAUUCACUGGGUAUAAAGGGCGCGUAGGCGGACUUGUAAGUCAAGGGUGAAAUCUCACCGCUUAACGGUGAAACUGCCUUUGAUACUGCAAGCCUUGAGUUCAGAAGAGAGAAAUGGAAUUCCAGGUGUAGUGGUGAAAUACGUAGAUAUCUGGAAGAACACCAGAGGCGAAGGCGAUUUCUUGGUCUGUAACUGACGCUGAGGCGCGAAAGCGUGGGGAUCAAACAGGAUUAGAUACCCUGGUAGUCCACGCUGUAAACGAUGAAUACUAGAUGUUGGUCCCAUUGGGAUCAGUGUCGCAGCAAACGCAUUAAGUAUUCCACCUGGGGAGUACGAUCGCAAGGUUGAAACUCAAAGGAAUUGACGGGGGCCCGCACAAGCAGUGGAGCAUGUGGUUUAAUUCGAUGCAACGCGAAGAACCUUACCUAGGCUUGAAAAGCAAAUGACAGGGUAUGAAAGUAUCCCUCCAGCAAUGGCAUUUGUACAGGUGCUGCAUGGCUGUCGUCAGCUCGUGCCGUGAGGUGUUGGGUUAAGUCCCGCAACGAGCGCAACCCUUACUAUUAAUUGCCAUCA